GGAGGAAAAGAAACCAACAGGGAUUGCCUCAGUAACGGCGAGUGAAGCGGCAACAGCUCAAAUUUGAAAUCUGGCCCUAGGCCCGAGUUGUAAUUUGCAGAGGAUGCUUUUGGUGAGGUGCCUUCCGAGUUCCCUGGAACGGGACGCCAUAGAGGGUGAGAGCCCCGUCUGGUCGGACACCGAGCCUCUGUAAAGCUCCUUCGACGAGUCGAGUAGUUUGGGAAUGCUGCUCUAAAUGGGAGGUAUAUGUCUUCUAAAGCUAAAUACCGGCCAGAGACCGAUAGCGCACAAGUAGAGUGAUCGAAAGAUGAAAAGCACUUUGAAAAGAGAGUUAAAUAGCACGUGAAAUUGUUGAAAGGGAAGCGUUUAUGACCAGACUUGGCCCGGUUGAUCAUCCAGCGUUCUCGCUGGUGCACUCUGCCGGUCCAGGCCAGCAUCAGUUCGUCGCGGGGGAUAAAGGUUUCGGGAAUGUGGCUCCUCCGGGAGUGUUAUAGCCCGUUGCGUAAUACCCUGCGGUGGACUGAGGUCCGCGCUUCUGCAAGGAUGCUGGCGUAAUGGUCAUCAACGA
RNAcentral lists this ribosomal RNA (568 nucleotides) under Paramyrothecium roridum. RNAcentral describes it as "partial large subunit ribosomal RNA". It matches the Rfam family "Eukaryotic large subunit ribosomal RNA", at positions 52 to 647 of the family's 3401-position model. Lineage: Eukaryota; Fungi; Ascomycota; Sordariomycetes; Hypocreales; Stachybotryaceae. The record is from RNAcentral.